UACGGGGGGGGCAAGCGUUGUUCGGAAUUACUGGGCGUAAAGGGCGCGUAGGCGGCCUGUUAAGUCGGACGUGAAAUCCCUCGGCUCAACCGGGGAACUGCGUCUGAUACUGGCGGGCUUGAAUUCGGGAGAGGGAUGUGGAAUUCCAGGUGUAGCGGUGAAAUGCGUAGAUAUCUGGAGGAACACCGGUGGCGAAGGCGGCAUCCUGGACCGACAUUGACGCUGAGGCGCGAAAGCCAGGGGAGCAAACGGG
This 253-nucleotide ribosomal RNA is filed under the name uncultured bacterium. RNAcentral's name for it is "partial 16S ribosomal RNA". It matches the Rfam family "Bacterial small subunit ribosomal RNA", at positions 524 to 776 of the family's 1533-position model. The record is from RNAcentral.